Molecule: long non-coding RNA, 2266 nt
Filed under: Lathyrus oleraceus (garden pea)
Lineage: Eukaryota; Viridiplantae; Streptophyta; Magnoliopsida; Fabales; Fabaceae
Description: Pisum sativum (pea) long non-coding RNA (PSAT_LNC028202)
Source: RNAcentral
AGGUGUGUCCUAAUAACAAUAUUAGGACAAACCCUUGAGAAAUUCUUAACACCUUAGCAUAUCAAUUUACAUGAUAGGAUGUGUUCAAAUAACACUAUGCACUCAAACCCAUGAGAUAAUACAUAUUACCUCAACAAAUCAAUUUACAUAUGAGAGUGUGUUUGAAUAAUAUUAUCCAUUUAAAACUCUGAGACAAUACGUAACACAUUGGCGCAUAAGUUUACAAGACAAGGUGUAGCCAUAGAACAUUAUCCAAACAAACCCUUGAUCCAACUAACUUUGCAUUACUUUUUCAUACAUAAUAGUGUGUUUAGAUUUACAAUAUUUUAUUCACACAUAUAUAGUUCCCUUACAUAAGUCACAUAUUUUUAACCUAAGAAAAUAUCGUAUAUAAAAUCAUGAGUCUUACAGUCUCAUAUUUGUAACAAGAAAUCCAUAGGACAUUCAUGAGCGAAAUAUUAUUAAAACAUAUUUAGAAAAAAUUAAAUUGGUCUAUACAAUAGUCUAAGUACUGAGUACGUUGCAAACCUCUUUUUCCUCCUCUACCUCCUAUAGUGAGGUACACUUCGUUCCUUUAACAAUACCACCUGUAGUGUCCUACUAGAGGGAUCUUCGUGAAACUAUCCUCUACUGUUGGAAGCACCACUACACUAUGAUGGAAUAUGACCAAGAUAUCUACGACAUGGGCCGCCCUAGCAUGUUCCUUCGAUGAUAUCUAGUGAUGAGCUGAUCUUGGGGGAUCUUUUGCUUGCACUAGUGUCAAAUAAUGAUUAAAAACUUUGUAAAAUCAUUGUAUGUAAUCGUAUAUCGUACUUAAUGGACUAGGAGUUAGCACACUGCGUACAUCCUCUAGUAUCGGGGGUUCGUGGUACUCCGCAAAUAGCUCAUUGAUAUCUUUACAAAGAAUCGUGGAAGACACACCCAAAGUGAGGUCCCAAGCUAGGUAUACCCUGCAUAUACUAGAACUACCUCAAUAUUGAUUUAUGUAGAAGUGGGUAUUUAAGUCGAGAGCCACAUGCCAAAGGAACAACGUGAGGUUGAGUGAAGUGGAUAUUAUUCAGACGAGGCGAGAGGAGCAACCUCAUAAUUGUUUUGACCUUUGGCAUCAAAAAGACUUUUGCAGGCAUCUCUCUUCUAGAUAACCACUAUCAUUAUAGACCUACCACCAUCAACUACUCUCAAAUUGAUUGUGAUCUAGACAAGAAAUUUUUUCUUUUUAUCAACAUAAACAAAGUUUAAAUUACUUUAUGAGAACAAAUUUUAUGUUAUUUUCAAUCUAACACCAAAAUUGUGUGUUUGAUUUUUGUUUUGUACGACGAAGAUAACAUGUGUUUCAUGAAAAAACCAUUUAUCAUGUUAAAGAGUGGAUCUAUAGUAUUACUAAUGUACUAAAGUACUCAUGGAGUAGAUAAAAAUGAAUAGAUUGAGUGAGAUAUACAGUUGGAGUUUAUUUAACAAAUCUCCUUUUCAUGAAAAGACCAUUUAUCAUGUUAAAGAGUGAUUUAACAAGCCAAAGGUUGCCUUUGCACCAUGGUGAAAAGGCAAAUAGUUUAUGUACCAAAGGUUGCGUUUCAAUUUCAAUUUGUCUAUAUAAUAAAUUGUAAAUUAAAUACUGCACAUAAUCAAGUUGUCUCUUUAAUUAAUCACCUUUAAUUCUUUUCGAACUUAAGUUUAAUAAUUUUUUGUAGUGCUUGACACCUUUGAUUAGACCAAUAUGGCUAAUUCCCAACCACAACACACAAUUUACAGUGCUUAGUUAUUUUAAUCAAGAAAUGAAUAAAGACCACAAUUAAAGAUCGUAAUAUUCCUGUCAAUAGUUUAUUUUGAGCAAAUUGAAUUAUAUUAUCUCCUUUCAAAAUCUUACGUUUGAUCUUUCUAUGUUUUUUAAGGACUGAAUAUUAAUAAUUAAAUUUCACUUUUUAUAGACUCCUUUUCUGAUCUUUUUGUUUGGUUUACACUAGUGUGCCUUUAUUUGGCUAUUCAAUUUUAUAGAUAAUUUUACUUUUUCAAAAAGAGAUUGUGAUCUAGAACAAUAAUAAAACUUAUUUAAUAUACUUAUGUGCAUUACUCAACCAAAUUGUAAAGUAACGCUAUGUGCAUUACUCAACCAAAUUGUAAAGUAACGCUAUUUGAUUAAUUAUUAUAAUAUUCGAUAUUUAGAUAGUAUUAGGUAGAUAUUAUAAUAAAUUAAUUUAAAUCGAAUGUAUCGAUAUUAUAAUCGUUAAUAAAUUUUUUUAUAAGUAUUUCAAGCAUUCUUAAAUGUUUU